RNAcentral lists this ribosomal RNA (500 nucleotides) under uncultured bacterium. Its description in RNAcentral is "partial 16S ribosomal RNA". It matches the Rfam family "Bacterial small subunit ribosomal RNA", at positions 30 to 523 of the family's 1533-position model. The record is from RNAcentral.
AUUGAACGCAGGCGGAAUGCUUUACACAUGCAAGUCGAACGGCAGCACGGACUUCGGUCUGGUGGCGAGUGGCGAACGGGUGAGUAAUGUAUCGGAACGUGCCCAGUCGUGGGGGAUAACGUAGUGAAAAUUACGCUAAUACCGCAUACGAUCUAUGGAUGAAAGCGGGGGAUCGCAAGACCUCGCGCGAUUGGAGCGGCCGAUAUCAGAUUAGGUAGUUGGUGGGGUAAAGGCCCACCAAGCCAACGAUCUGUAGCUGGUCUGAGAGGACGACCAGCCGCACGUGAACUGAGACACGGUCCAGACUACUACGGGAGGCAGCAGUGGGGAAUUUUGGACAAUGGGCGAAAGCCUGAUCCAGCCAUUCCGCGUGCAGGAUGAAGGCCCUCGGGUUGUAAACUGCUUUUGUACAGAACGAAAAGGUUUCUACUAAUACUAGGAGCUCAUGACGGUACUGUAAGAAUAAGCACCGGCUAACUACGUGCCAGCCGCCGCCGUAA